GAUUUGUGGAGUGCUGUCCACAGGAGGGACUUACUGAGAAGCUUUGGUCUGGACUUGAAAAUUUUGUCUUUGAUUGGUUAAUCAAUGCUGAUAGGCUUGUUAGCCAGGUUGAAUACCCAUCCUUGGUUGAUCUUCGGGGGCUUCUUUUGGAUUUGGUUGCUCAACUCUUAGGUGCCUUAUCUCGCA
This is a long non-coding RNA of Morus notabilis, 186 nucleotides long. RefSeq lists it as uncharacterized. Lineage: Eukaryota; Viridiplantae; Streptophyta; Magnoliopsida; Rosales; Moraceae. The transcript has 3 exons. The record is from RefSeq and is a predicted model, not a curated record.